GGGAAUUGCAUUCGAUACUGGUUAGCUAGAGUGUGGGAGAGGAUGGUAGAAUUCCAGGUGUAGCGGUGAAAUGCGUAGAGAUCUGGAGGAAUACCGAUGGCGAAGGCAGCCAUCUGGCCUAACACUGACGCUGAGGUGCGAAAGCAUGGGGAGCAAACAGGAUUAGAUACCCUGGUAGUCCAUGCCGUAAACGAUGUCUACUAGCCGUUGGGGCCUUUGAGGCUUUAGUGGCGCAGCUAACGCGAUAAGUAGACCGCCUGGGGAGUACGGUCGCAAGACUAAAACUCAAAUGAAUUGACGGGGGCCCGCACAAGCGGUGGAGCAUGUGGUUUAAUUCGAUGCAACGCGAAGAACCUUACCUGGCCUUGACAUAGUAAGAACUUUCCAGAGAUGGAUUGGUGCCUUCGGGAACUUACAUACAGGUGCUGCAUGGCUGUCGUCAGCUCGUGUCGUGAGAUGUUGGGUUAAGUCCCGCAACGAGCGCAACCCUUUUCCUUAUUUGCCAGCGAGUAAUGUCGGGAACUUUAAGGAUACUGCCAGUGACAAACUGGAGGAAGG
RNAcentral lists this ribosomal RNA (558 nucleotides) under Acinetobacter calcoaceticus. RNAcentral's name for it is "bacterial SSU rRNA". It matches the Rfam family "Bacterial small subunit ribosomal RNA", at positions 616 to 1173 of the family's 1533-position model. The record is from RNAcentral. Lineage: Bacteria; Pseudomonadati; Pseudomonadota; Gammaproteobacteria; Moraxellales; Moraxellaceae.